This 253-nucleotide ribosomal RNA is filed under the name uncultured bacterium. Its description in RNAcentral is "partial 16S ribosomal RNA". It matches the Rfam family "Bacterial small subunit ribosomal RNA", at positions 524 to 776 of the family's 1533-position model. The record is from RNAcentral.
GACAGAGGUGCCGAGCGUUAGGCGGAAUCACUGGGCUUAAAGCGUGUGUAGGCGGGCGGGCAAGUACCUUGGGAAAUCCCACGGCUCAACCGUGGAACGGCUGGGUAUACUGCCUGUCUUGAGCCAACUAGGGGCGAGCGGAACAGACGGUGGAGCGGUGAAAUGCGUAGAUAUCGCCUGGAACGCCAAAGGUGAAAACAGCUCGCUGGGGUUGUGCUGACGCUGAGACACGAAAGCCAGGGGAGCGAACGGG